GGGUCAGUAGGUUGGUCGUGCCACCGGUACGUACUGGUCUCACUGAUUCCUCCUUCCUGAAGAACUGUAAUGCCAUUAAUUUGGUGUUGCGGGGAAACAGGACUGUUACUUUGAAAAAUUAGAGUGUUUAAAGCAAGCUAACGCUUGAAUACAUUAGCAUGGAAUAAUGAAAUAGGACGAUCGAUCCUAUUUUGUUGGUUUCUAGGAUUGACGUA
RNAcentral lists this ribosomal RNA (215 nucleotides) under Glomeromycotina sp. RNAcentral's name for it is "partial small subunit ribosomal RNA". The stretch from base 40 to 215 matches the Rfam family "Eukaryotic small subunit ribosomal RNA", at positions 686 to 864 of the family's 1831-position model. The record is from RNAcentral. Lineage: Eukaryota; Fungi; Glomeromycota.